RNAcentral lists this long non-coding RNA (423 nucleotides) under Cucumis sativus (cucumber). Its description in RNAcentral is "long non-coding RNA (CSAT_LNC000832)". Lineage: Eukaryota; Viridiplantae; Streptophyta; Magnoliopsida; Cucurbitales; Cucurbitaceae. The record is from RNAcentral.
GGUGUUCACCUCCGAUGAUACUGAACCCGAUGACGUGUCUCUCGUCGUCGUGAAUAUCGAGUCUCUCCGUACUUGUAUCCGCUGGUAAGCCUGAUAUUACAUUAACCUCUCUUGUACAACCUAACUUCAUUGUGAAUCCUUCACUCACCGUACAGCUCUUGAUGAAGUGCUUGUAACUUUGAGGCUGGUCGAACCUUCGUACGAUGGACCAGACCGCCUCUGAUGGUGCCUGAACACGCUGAGCAAGUAAGGAGGAGCACCGGCCGCGGGUGAGUUUGUAGAUGUGAAACUCUGCUACUAAGUCCUUCAACUCGUCGAACUCUUCCUGAGUGAGGCCGGAGGGCAGUGCGGAGAGAUGGUGAGUUGUGAGAUAAGUUUCUUCGGAGUUUGAGUUUGGUUGGAGCUGCUGCUCCGUGGACGCGG